GGAUUAGAUACCCUGGUAGUCCACGCCGUAAACGAUGAGAACUAGAUGUCGGGAGCAUUUGGCUUUCGGUGUCGCAGCUAACGCGUUAAGUUCUCCGCCUGGGGAGUACGCCGGCAACGGUAAAACUCAAAGGAAUUGACGGGGACCCGCACAAGCGGUGGAGCAUGUGGUUUAAUUCGAUGCAACGCGAAGAACCUUACCUGCCCUUGACAUACUCGGAACUUUCCAGAGAUGGAUUGGUGCCUUCGGGAACCGAUGUACAGGUGCUGCAUGGCUGUCGUCAGCUCGUGCCG
RNAcentral lists this ribosomal RNA (293 nucleotides) under uncultured bacterium. Its description in RNAcentral is "partial 16S ribosomal RNA". It matches the Rfam family "Bacterial small subunit ribosomal RNA", at positions 775 to 1067 of the family's 1533-position model. The record is from RNAcentral.